Molecule: ribosomal RNA, 406 nt
Filed under: uncultured bacterium
Lineage: Bacteria
Description: partial 16S ribosomal RNA
Rfam family: Bacterial small subunit ribosomal RNA
Source: RNAcentral
AUUGAACGCUGGCGGCAGGCCUAACACAUGCAAGUCGAACGAGUGGCGGACGGGUGAGUAAUGUUUGGGAAUCUGCCAGAUGGAGGGGGAUAACUACUGGAAACUGUAGCUAAUACCGCAUACCAUAAGAUGAGCCCAGAUGGGAUGAGCUAGUUGGUGGGGUAAAGGCUCACCAAGGCGACGAUCCCUAGCUGGUCUGAGAGGAGGACCAGCCACACUGGAACGGAGACACGGUCCAGACUCCUACGGGAGGCAGCAGUGGGGAAUAUUGCACAAUGGGCGCAAGCCUGAUGCAGCCAUGCCGCGUGUAUGAAGAAGGCCUUCGGGUUGUAAAGUACUUUCAGCGGGGAGGCGUUACCCGCAGAAGAAGCACCGGCUAACUCCGUGCCAGCAGCCGCGGUAAUAC